This 468-nucleotide ribosomal RNA is filed under the name uncultured bacterium. Its description in RNAcentral is "partial 16S ribosomal RNA". It matches the Rfam family "Bacterial small subunit ribosomal RNA", at positions 28 to 507 of the family's 1533-position model. The record is from RNAcentral.
GACGAACGCUGGCGGCGUGCUUAACACAUGCAAGUCGAACGGAAAGGCCCUGCUUUUGUGGGGUGCUCGAGUGGCGAAAGGGUGAGUAACACGUGAGUAACCUGCCCUUUACUUUGGGAUAACUUCAGGAAACUGGGGCUAAUACCGGAUAGGAGCUCCUGCUGCAUGGUGGGGGUUGGAAAGUUUCGGCGGUUGGGGAUGGACUCGCGGCUUAUCAGCUUGUUGGUGGGGUAGUGGCUUACCAAGGCUUUGACGGGUAGCCGGCCUGAGAGGGUGACCGGCCACAUUGGGACUGAGAUACGGCCCAGACUCCUACGGGAGGCAGAAGUGGGGAAUAUUGCACAAUGGGCGGAAGCCUGAUGCAGCAACGCCGCGUGAGGGAUGACGGCCUUAGGGUUGUAAACCGCUUUCGCCUGUGACGAAGCGUGAGUGACGGUAAUGGGUAAAGAAGCACCGGCUAACUACGUG